UACCAUGCAAGUCGAACGGCAGCGCGGGGGCAACCCUGGCGGCGAGUGGCGAACGGGUGAGUAAUACAUCGGAACGUGUCCUGGAGUGGGGGAUAGCCCGGCGAAAGCCGGAUUAAUACCGCAUACGAUCCACGGAGGAAAGCGGGGGACCGAAAGGCCUCGCGCUCAAGGAGCGGCCGAUGGCGGAUUAGCUAGUUGGUGGGGUAAAGGCCCACCAAGGCGACGAUCCGUAGCUGGUCUGAGAGGACGACCAGCCACACUGGGACUGAGACACGGCCCAGACUCCUACGGGAGGCAGCAGUGGGGAAUUUUGGACAAUGGGCGAAAGCCUGAUCCAGCAAUGCCGCGUGUGUGAAGAAGGCCUUCGGGUUGUAAAGCACUUUUGUCCGGAAAGAAAACUUCGCCUCUAAUACAGGUGGAGGAUGACGGUACCGGAAGAAUAAGCACCGGCUAACUACGUGCCAGCAGCCGCGGUAAUACGUAGGGUGCAAGCGUUAAUCGGAAUUACUGGGCGUAAAGCGUGCGCAGGCGGUGAUGUAAGACCGAUGUGAAAUCCCCGGGCUUAACCUGGGAACUGCAUUGGUGACUGCAUUGCUAGAGUAUGGCAGAGGGGGGUGGAAUUCCACGUGUAGCAGUGAAAUGCGUAGAGAUGUGGAGGAACACCGAUGGCGAAGGCAGCCCCCUGGGCCAAUACUGACGCUCAUGCACGAAAGCGUGGGGAGCAAACAGGAUUAGAUACCCUGGUAGUCCACGCCCUAAACGAUGUCAACUGGUUGUUGGGGAUUCAUUUCCUUAGUAACGAAGCUAACGCGUGAAGUUGACCGCCUGGGGAGUACGGUCGCAAGAUUAAACUC
Molecule: ribosomal RNA, 854 nt
Filed under: Paraburkholderia diazotrophica
Lineage: Bacteria; Pseudomonadati; Pseudomonadota; Betaproteobacteria; Burkholderiales; Burkholderiaceae
Description: bacterial SSU rRNA
Rfam family: Bacterial small subunit ribosomal RNA
Source: RNAcentral